This 751-nucleotide ribosomal RNA is filed under the name uncultured Glomus. RNAcentral's name for it is "SSU rRNA". It matches the Rfam family "Eukaryotic small subunit ribosomal RNA", at positions 339 to 1092 of the family's 1831-position model. Lineage: Eukaryota; Fungi; Glomeromycota; Glomeromycetes; Glomerales; Glomeraceae. The record is from RNAcentral.
GCCUACCAUGGUGGUAACGGGUAACGGGGUGUUAGGGCACGACACCGGAGAGGGAGCCUGAGAAACGGCUACCACAUCCAAGGAUGGCAGCAGGCGCGCAAAUUACCCAAUCCCGACACGGGGAGGUAGUGACAAUAAAUAACAAUACGGGGUUCUUUCGGAUUUCGUAAUUGGAAUGAGUACAAUUUAAAUCUCUUAACGAGGAACAAUUGGAGGGCAAGUCUGGUGCCAGCAGCCGCGGUAAUUCCAGCUCCAAUAGCGUAUAUUAAAGUUGCUGCAGUUAAAAAGCUCGUAGUUGAAUUUCGGGACCAAUAUGUCGGUCGUGCCUCGGUACGUACUGGCAUCGUUGGUUUCUCCCUUCUGAAGAACCAUGAUGUCAUUCAUUUGGUGUCGUGGGGAAUCAGGACUGUUACUUUGAAAAAAUUAGAGUGUUUAAAGCAGGCUCACGCUUGAAUACAUUAGCAUGGAAUAAUGAAAUAGGACGUUUGAUUCUAUUUUGUUGGUUUCUAGGAUCGACGUAAUGAUUAAUAGGGAUAGUUGGGGGCAUUAGUAUUCAAUUGUCAGAGGUGAAAUUCUUGGAUUUAUUGAAGACUAACUACUGCGAAAGCAUUUGCCAAGGAUGUUUUCAUUAAUCAAGUACGAAAGUUAGGGGAUCGAAGACGAUCAGAUACCGUCGUAGUCUUAACCAUAAACUAUGCCGACUAGGGAUCGGAUGAUGUUAAUUUUUUAAUGACUCAUUCGGCGCCUUACG